This 253-nucleotide ribosomal RNA is filed under the name uncultured bacterium. RNAcentral describes it as "partial 16S ribosomal RNA". It matches the Rfam family "Bacterial small subunit ribosomal RNA", at positions 524 to 776 of the family's 1533-position model. The record is from RNAcentral.
UACGGAGGGGGCGAGCGUUAUUCGGAAUCAUUGGGCGUAAAGGGCGCGUAGGCGGCCCCGUAAGUCUUGGGUGAAAGCCCUCGGCUCAACCGAGGAAUUGCCUUGGAUACUGCGGGGCUCGAGGCUGGAAGAGGACAGUGGAAUUCCCGGUGUAGCGGUGAAAUGCGUAGAUAUCAGGAGGAACACCGGUGGCGAAGGCGGGUCUCUGGGCCGAUACUGACGCUGAGGAGCGAAAGCGUGGGGAGCGAACAGG